Molecule: microRNA precursor, 103 nt
Filed under: Marmota monax (woodchuck)
Lineage: Eukaryota; Metazoa; Chordata; Mammalia; Rodentia; Sciuridae
Source: RNAcentral
AGUAGGAUAACUGGGUCAAAUGGUGGCUCCAUUCCUAGUUUUCCAAGGAAUCUCCAUACUGCUUUCCAGAGUGGUUGCACCAAUUUGCAGUCCCACUAGUAAU